This 467-nucleotide ribosomal RNA is filed under the name uncultured soil bacterium. RNAcentral describes it as "bacterial SSU rRNA". It matches the Rfam family "Bacterial small subunit ribosomal RNA", at positions 26 to 506 of the family's 1533-position model. The record is from RNAcentral.
AGGAUGAACGCUGGCGGCGUGCUUAACACAUGCAAGUCGAACGAUGAAGCCGGAGCUUGCUCUGGUGGAUUAGUGGCGAACGGGUGAGUAACACGUGAGUAACCUGCCCUUGACUCUGGGAUAAGCGUUGGAAACGACGUCUAAUACCGGAUACGACGCGCGAAGGCAUCUUCUGCGCGUGGAAAGAAUUUCGGUCAAGGAUGGACUCGCGGCCUAUCAGCUAGUUGGUGAGGUAACGGCCCACCAAGGCGACGACGGGUAGCCGGCCUGAGAGGGUGACCGGCCACACUGGGACUGAGACACGGCCCAGACUCCUACGGGAGGCAGCAGUGGGGAAUAUUGCACAAUGGGCGCAAGCCUGAUGCAGCAACGCCGCGUGAGGGACGACGGCCUUCGGUUGUAAACCUCGUUUAGUAGGUAAGAAGACGAAAGUGACGGUACCUGCAGAAAAGCACCGCUAACUACGU